AGGGUUCGAUUCCAGACAGGGAGCCUCAGAGAUGGCUACCACCUCCAAGGCAGGCAGCAGGCGCGUAAAUUACCCAAUCCUGACAUAGGGACGUAGUUUAUUUGGUGGUCUCCUUACCACUCGGAUAACCGUGGUAAUUCAAGAGCUAAUGCGUGCAGCAUAUCCCGACUUCUGGGAGGGAUGUAUUUAUUGGAAAAAAGGUCAAUCUGGGGUUGCCCGUUGUUGCAGUGAAUCAUGGUGACUUGUCGAAUCGCAUGGCCUUUGCGCCGGCGAUGUUUGAUUCAAAUUUCCGCCCUAUCAACUUUGGAUGGUAGGAUAGAGGCCUACCAUGGUGGUAACGGGUGACGUAGAAUUAGGGUUCGAUUCCAGACAGGGAGCCUCAGAGAUGGCUACCACCUCCAAGGUUGGCAGCAGGCGCGUAAAUUACCCAAUCCUGACAUAGGGAGGUAGUGACAAUAAAUAACAAUACUGGGCUCUUUCGAGUCCGGUAAUUGGAAUGAGAACAGGCGUAAACUCCUUGAAAGAGGAUCCACUGGAGGGCAAGUCUGGUGGCACUAAUUCCGGCUCCAAUUGCGUAUAUGUAAGUUGAUGUAGACUUGCAGUUAACAAGCUCGUAGUUUGAUUUUGGGUGGGAGGGGUCGUCCGCUCUUGCGGGUGUGUACCAGCCCUUUUACCUUUCUUGCCGGGUAUGCGCUCCUGGCCUUUAUUGGCUGGGAUCCAGAGCUGGCGCUGUUACUUUGAAAAAAUUAGUGUUCAAACCAGGCCUGAAAAUAUUAGCAUGGAAUAAUGUGAUAGGACUCUCGUCCUAUUUCGUUGGUCUUCGGACUCGUCGGGAUUGGAGUAAUGAUUAAUAGAGACGGUUGACAUUCAUAUUCCAUUGUCAGAGGUGAAAUUCUUGGAUUUAUGGAUGACGAACUUCUCCGAAAGCAUUUGCCAAGGGCGUUCUCAUUAAUCAAGAACGAAAGUUGGGGGAUYGAAGACGAUCAGAUACCGUCCUAGUCUCAACCAUAAACGAUGCCGACUAGGGAUUGGCGGAUGUCUAUUGGAUGACUCUGCCAGCACCUUGUGAGAAAUCAAAGUUUACGGGAUGGUCACAAGGCUGAAACUUAAAGGAAUUGACGGAAGGGCACUACCAGGCGUGGAGCCUGCGGCUUACUUUGACUCAACACGGGGAAACUCACCAGGUCCAGACAUAGCAAGGAUUGACUGAUUCAGGGCUCUUUAUUGAUUCCAUGGGUGGUGGUGCAUGGCCGUUCUUAGUUGGUGGAGUGAUUUGUCUGGUUAAUUCCGUUAACGAACGAGAACUCAUCCUGCUAAAUAGCUAUGCGGUAACCUUCGCUCGUGGCCAGCUUCUUAGAGGGACUGUUGGACGACUGGCCCACGGAAGUUCGAGGCAAUACGAGGUCUUUGAUGCCCUUAGAUGUUCUGGGCCGCACGCACGCUACGCUGAUGAAUCCAACGAGUCGCUUGCCUGGGUUGAAGGCCCGGGUAACCUUCUUAAGGUUCAUCGUGACGGGGAUAGAUUCUUAAGGUUCAUCGUGACGGGGAUAGAUUGUUGUAAUUAUCGAUCUUGAACGAUGAAUGCCUAGUAAAUCAGCUCGUGCUGAUUACAUCCCUGCCCUUUGUACACACUGCCCGUUGGUGAUCUCAACGGUUUGCCGCUGGGGGUGCUGUGAGAAGUGCAUUCAGGCUUAUCAUUUAGAGGAAGGAGAAGUCGUAGUAAGGUUUCCGUAGGUGAACCUGCGGAAG
Molecule: ribosomal RNA, 1749 nt
Filed under: Chara braunii
Lineage: Eukaryota; Viridiplantae; Streptophyta; Charophyceae; Charales; Characeae
Description: SSU rRNA
Source: RNAcentral